Molecule: ribosomal RNA, 172 nt
Filed under: Brevibacterium sp. M75
Lineage: Bacteria; Bacillati; Actinomycetota; Actinomycetes; Micrococcales; Brevibacteriaceae
Description: partial 16S ribosomal RNA
Rfam family: Bacterial small subunit ribosomal RNA
Source: RNAcentral
GCUGGCUGCGUGCUUACACAUGCAAGUCGAACGCUGAAGCCUGGUGCUUGCACCGGGUGGAUGAGUGGCGAACGGGUGAGUAACACGUGAGUAACCUGCCCCUGACUUCGGGAUAAGCCCGGGAAACUGGGUCUAAUACCGGAUACGACUGCCGGACGCAUGUCUGGUGGUG